CCUACGGGAGGCAGCAGUGAGGAAUAUUGGUCAAUGGACGAGAGUCUGAACCAGCCAAGUAGCGUGAAGGAUGACUGCCCUAUGGGUUGUAAACUUCUUUUGUAUGGGAAUAAAAUGUUCCACGUGUGGGAUUUUGUAUGUACCAUAUGAAUAAGGAUCGGCUAACUCCGUGCCAGCAGCCGCGGUAAUACGGAGGAUCCGAGCGUUAUCCGGAUUUAUUGGGUUUAAAGGGAGCGUAGGUGGAUUGGUAAGUCAGUGGGGAAAGUUUGCGGCUCAACCGUAAAAUUGCAGUUGAAACUGGCAGUCUUGAGUACAGGAGAGGUGGGCGGAAUUCGUGGUGUAGCGGUGAAAUGCUUAGAUAUCACGAAGAACUCCGAUUGCGAAGGCAGCUCACUGGACUGCAACUGACACUGAGGCUCGAAAGUGUGGGUAUCAAACAGGAUUAGAUACCCGAGUAGUC
This 460-nucleotide ribosomal RNA is filed under the name uncultured bacterium. Its description in RNAcentral is "partial 16S ribosomal RNA". It matches the Rfam family "Bacterial small subunit ribosomal RNA", at positions 338 to 795 of the family's 1533-position model. The record is from RNAcentral.